RNAcentral lists this ribosomal RNA (747 nucleotides) under Triticum aestivum (bread wheat). Its description in RNAcentral is "partial small subunit ribosomal RNA". The record is from RNAcentral. Lineage: Eukaryota; Viridiplantae; Streptophyta; Magnoliopsida; Poales; Poaceae.
AUGAUUGUUACACUAUGGGCUAUUUGGGCAGCGAGGAGAAAGAUAAUCCAUGAAGGCAUUUACAAAAAUCCUUUCUCAACUCAAGGUUUCAUCACUAGCUACAUCGCAGAGUUGAAGCAAAUACGGAAGCCUGUUGAGAGGACGGUGGCUGCACCAACUAUUCGCCCAGCCACGUGGCAGCCUCCACCGGAGGAUCAUGUUAAAAUUAACGUUGAUGCUGCCGUGUCACGUUCAGGUGGUUUUGGUGCUGUGGGAGCGAUUUGCCGCGAUGCAACUGGGAUAUAUCAGGGGGCAUCGGUAGUCAUAUUCAGAAACAUAGAAGACACGGAGGUUCUGGAAGUACUCGCUAACAGGGAAGCAAUGGCGCUUGCGGGGGAUCUUUACGAGCAUAAAGUUUUCAUCGCCUCGGACUGUAUGGCAGCGGUGGAGGCAAUCAGAGGAGGAACAGCAGCAUCUUACGGAGCAGUGGUGCACGAAAUAACGGAGAGAGCUAGUUUUACUUCUUGCAUUUUUAGCCAUGAAUUUCGGACCUCGAACUUUGAGGCCCACAACCUCGUCUCUCUCCAUUCCCCUCUCCCAAAUCCAAAGAACUCCAUACGAGGACAAGAGUCUCCGAGCUACAUGGUUUCUUCGGAUGGUAUUCUCUCCAUUCCCCUCUCUCAAAUCCAAAGAACUCCAUACGGGGACAAGAGUCUCCGAGCGACAUUAUUUACUCGCACAUUAGCCGGCGAAUUAACCACUGGUUGA